UACAGAGAGUGCGAGCGUUAAUCGGAAUUACUGGGCGUAAAGCGCACGUAGGUGGAUGUUUAAGUUGGAUGUGAAAUCCCUGGGCUUAACCUAGGAAUUGCAUUCAAUACUGGAUGUCUAGAGUAUAGUAGAGGGAAGUGGAAUUUCUGGUGUAGCGGUGAAAUGCGUAGAUAUCAGAAGGAACAUCAGUGGCGAAAGCGGCUUCCUGGACUAAUACUGACACUUAGGUGCGAAAGCGUGGGGAGCAAACAGGAUUAGAUACCCGAGUAGU
This 271-nucleotide ribosomal RNA is filed under the name uncultured bacterium. Its description in RNAcentral is "partial 16S ribosomal RNA". It matches the Rfam family "Bacterial small subunit ribosomal RNA", at positions 524 to 794 of the family's 1533-position model. The record is from RNAcentral.